ACCGACAGAUGAACAGAUGUCUUGCUUGCUGGGCUUCCCAUUACUAAUUCUUGAGGCCCAGUGUUUUCGUACCCCUGUCCACUUAGGAAGGAGUUGCAGCUUUCAUCAAAGAAACUGAUGAUCUAAAAGUUGAGACAGACUGGAUGAGCUAGGCUGCUUUGUCUGGACGAAAAUGAACCCUACAAGGCUCCAACAGCCUCAUCACACAGAAACUCGAGGAGCUGGAAGCAGGAAAGAGGACCGACAGAUGAACGGAUGACCUGCUUGCUGGGCUUCCCAUUACUGAUUCUUGAAAGAAAUGAGGACCACUGACUGAUGAGGGAAUUGUCUUACUGAGAUGAGGAUGAGCCUGCCUCAAGCCAUCGUAAGCUGGGAGGACCGACGAUGGACUGAUACUGCCUACUGGCCUGGCCAUUACUGAUUCUUGAGGACAUGAGGACCACCAAGCUUGGACGAGACUGGACAAUGACGAAGCUGCUCUACUGGACAAGGAUGCCUUCAUCAGAAACUUGAGUUAAAAAAACUAGCUUGCACAAUAUGAAAUGAUAAAUCAGACUGCAUAAUGCAACGACAUUAAUGUUAUACACUAAGUCAAUAACACUAAAAUAAAAUGAAAAGUAAUUUGGUUUCAUUAAAUUAUUUAUGCCUCUAAAAUAAUCUUAAACCGGAUACUGCAUCAGACAGUUAACAUUGGACAAUAAUGGAAACUUGCUGACAAAUUAUUGUAAGGAUAAUGAUUUGUCACUGGCUUUUUAGCAGUGACAUGUCUGGUAGAAGGGAUGUUCCUUGAUCUGUCCUGGGUCAUCCAACAUUAUUGCAUCAAUAAGUUAAUAAUUUCAUACUCCUUACCUUUAAUACAUUCAAUUGGAUCUUCUCGGUAAAUUAUAAACGAGGUCUCGCCUCAGGCUUUCUAUUUGCUUUUUGUUCAGUUGACAAUGGAGAACUUUGCUCUAUAAAUUUAAUUUGAUAUUGAAAGUGCACUUUUAAGAAAACCAAUUUAAAUCAUAAGAGUUUUAAAAGAUUUCAAAAAGGAUAUAAUUUAUUGUUUAAAAACUGAAGAAAUGUAACAAACUUUAUUUAAAUUUAACGUCUUUAACAAGACGUCGGUUUACCUUAAACGUGACUUUCUAUCCAUUGUAUAUUUAUUAGAAAACACAAGAACGUUUAAUGUUUAGGCAAAUUUAAAGAAUAAACUGUUCAGGAACUUCUAUCCAUCAAAAUGCAUUGCAACAGGUAUAAGUGACACUCAAAUUACAUUUGUGUUUGUCCUUUUGUAAUUUAUUUCAUUGCACUUUUUCACUUGUUAUAUUUUUUACUUCAUAUGCACAAUUGUUUUUCUUGGUGGUUUUGCAUGUCUUUUCAUUUUCUUAUUAAUAAUUAACUAACCCCACAAAAGGAUAAACGCAAUAUAUAUCGAGUGUUGAACUUGCCUCGC
RNAcentral lists this long non-coding RNA (1435 nucleotides) under Patiria miniata (bat star). RNAcentral's name for it is "uncharacterized LOC119721901, transcript variant X2". Lineage: Eukaryota; Metazoa; Echinodermata; Asteroidea; Valvatida; Asterinidae. The record is from RNAcentral.